UUUCCGUAGGUGAACCUGCGGAAGGAUCAUUCAUAAUAAAGUGUUUUAUGGCACUUUUUAAAAAUCCAUAUCCACCUUGUGUGCAAUGUUAGAUCUCGUCAAUCUUGGCGAGAUUUUUAUACAUCAACUCAUCCUUUAACUAAUUUGUCUGAAAAAUAUUAUGAAUACUUAAUUCAAAAUACAACUUUCAACAACGGAUCUCUUGGCUCUC
Molecule: unclassified non-coding RNA, 211 nt
Filed under: plant metagenome
Description: partial contains small subunit ribosomal RNA, internal transcribed spacer 1, and 5.8S ribosomal RNA
Source: RNAcentral